This 254-nucleotide ribosomal RNA is filed under the name uncultured bacterium. Its description in RNAcentral is "partial 16S ribosomal RNA". It matches the Rfam family "Bacterial small subunit ribosomal RNA", at positions 524 to 776 of the family's 1533-position model. The record is from RNAcentral.
UACGUAGGGUGCAAGCGUUAAUCGGAAUUACUGGGCGUAAAGCGUGCGCAGGCGGUUGUGCAAGACAGAUGUGAAAUCCCCGGGCUCAACCUGGGAACUGCAUUUGUGACUGCAUCGCUGGAGUACGGCAGAGGGGGGAUGGAAUUCCGCGUGUAGCAGUGAAAUGCGUAGAUAUGCGGAGGAACACCGAUGGCGAAGGCAAUCCCCUGGGCCUGUACUGACGCUCAUGCACGAAAGCGUGGGGAGCAAACAGG